GAUUCAUGAUAACUCCUCGAAUCGCAUGGCCUUGUGCCGGCGAUGGUUCAUUCAAAUUUCUUCCCUAUCAACUUUCGAUGUUUGGGUAUUGGCCAAACAUGGUUGCAACGGGUAACGGAGGGUUAGGGCUCGACCCCGGAGAAGGAGCCUGAGAAACGGCUACUACAUCCAAGGAAGGCAGCAGGCGCGCAAAUUACCCAAUCCCGACACGGGGAGGUAGUGACAAUAAAUACUGAUACAGGGCUCUUUUGGGUCUUGUAAUUGGAAUGAGUACAAUUUAAAUCCCUUAACGAGGAACAAUUGGAGGGCAAGUCUGGUGCCAGCAGCCGCGGUAAUUCCAGCUCCAAUAGCGUAUAUUAAAGUUGUUGUGGUUAAAAAGCUCGUAGUUGAACCUUGGGCCUGGCCGUCCGGUCCGCCUCACCGCGUGUACUGGCUCGGCCGGGCCUUUCCCUCUGUGGAACCCCAUGCCCUUCACUGGGCGUGGCGGGGGAACCAGGACUUUUAC
This 505-nucleotide ribosomal RNA is filed under the name uncultured fungus. RNAcentral describes it as "SSU rRNA". It matches the Rfam family "Eukaryotic small subunit ribosomal RNA", at positions 248 to 755 of the family's 1831-position model. The record is from RNAcentral. Lineage: Eukaryota; Fungi.